AACCCAUGGUGUGGACAUUUCCUCAUCAAUUCCUUAUACCUCUCCUAAGCUUCAUACAAUGACUCAAAUUCAUCUUGCAGAAAUGAUGUGAUAUCAUUUCUCAGUUU
Small nucleolar RNA from Pistacia vera, 107 nucleotides. The record is from RefSeq and is a predicted model, not a curated record. NCBI's taxonomy places the organism in Eukaryota, Viridiplantae, Streptophyta, Magnoliopsida, Sapindales, Anacardiaceae.